RNAcentral lists this long non-coding RNA (1592 nucleotides) under Phaseolus vulgaris (common bean). Its description in RNAcentral is "long non-coding RNA (PVUL_LNC002044)". Lineage: Eukaryota; Viridiplantae; Streptophyta; Magnoliopsida; Fabales; Fabaceae. The record is from RNAcentral.
UAACAAAACCCCACUUUGUAGUGAGGUUGAGGGAAAAAACAAUGAGGUCUCUAAUGGCCUCCGCAACAGUCACUCUUGUGUUAGCAAUACUGUCUCUAAGCUUGCCAUCUCAAAUCUCAGCUGAUACCUACUUGUACUCAUCACCUCCUCCUCCCAAGAAGCCCUAUUAUUAUCACUCUCCUCCACCACCUUCACCUCCUCCACCUAAGCCAUACUACUAUCAUUCACCACCACCACCUUCACCUCCUCCACCCAAGCCAUACUACUAUCACUCACCACCACCACCUUCACCUCCUCCACCUAAACCAUACUACUAUCACUCACCACCACCACCUUCACCUCCUCCACCUAAACCAUACUACUAUCACUCACCACCACCACCUUCACCUCCUCCACCUAAACCAUACUACUAUCACUCACCACCACCACCUUCACCUCCUCCACCUAAGUCAUAUUACUAUCACUCACCACCACCACCACCCAAAAAGAAGCCAUACUACUACCAUUCUCCCCCACCACCUUCACCACCUCCUCCUAAGCCAUACUACUAUCACUCUCCCCCACCGCCUUCACCUCCUCCACCUACGCCAUACUACUAUCAUUCUCCCCCACCACCCUCACCACCUCCACCUAAGCCAUACUACUACCAUUCACCACCACCCCCACCGAAGAAGAAGCCUUACUACUACCACUCUCCACCACCACCUUCACCUCCUCCUCCAAAGAAGCCAUACUACUACCACUCCCCACCUCCUCCCAAGAAGCCCUACAAAUAUUCAUCUCCCCCACCUCCAGUGCACCCUUACCCUCAUCCUCACCCCCAUCCCCAUCCACACCCCCACCCUCACCCUCCCUACGUUUACAAAUCUCCUCCCCCACCCCCUAAGAAGCCAUACAAGUACCCAUCCCCACCACCUCCAGUCCACGUUUACCCUCACCCUCACCCGCAUCCACACCCUCACCCUCAACCUCACCCCCAUCCACAACCCCACCCUCCCUACAUUUAUCAGUCUCCUCCACCACCCCCUAAGAAGCCUUACAAGUACCCAUCGCCUCCACCUCCCGUCCACCCAUACCCCCAUCCCCACCCUCUUCCUCAUCCCCACCCUCACCCUCUUCCACAUCCCCACCCUCUUCCCCAUCCUCACCCUCUUCCUCAUCCCCACCCUCUUCCCCAUCCUCACCCCCUCCCUCCUUACACUCCUCAUCCAAUCUAUCACUCUCCAUCACCACCACCACCUUACAAGAAGCCUUACAAGUACAAGUCCCCUCCACCACCUCCACACUACAUCUACGCAUCACCUCCACCUCCUUACCACUCUUAGACAGUGGUCAACUAGCAUAGUUCUAUGGUAACCUUCUUCAUACCUACGUACAUGCUACAUUAUUAUAAUUUCUCAUUAAUGGUUCCGCAUUUUUUUACAUCUAUACUUGUUCCCAAAAAAUGAAUACCAAACCCUCGUGAUCCCUGUCAAGGUUUUUAACUUGAUACGGAAAAUGAUUUUUCUGGUUUGGUUUUAUAGGGACCACGUACCCCUCACUGAAAUUGACAGACACUAUAAUAAUAUGUGCAUGUGUUCUAAUGUUUUGUA